GUAAUAGACAGCAAAUGUAUACUGAGUGCAUGUUAGACUGUGCAAGCAUCUAGCAGGCGCAGCCAGCUUGAUGACACUCUCUGUCAAAGUGCAAUAUUUAGUUUCUCCUCUGCUACUUUCCCAGGGUGAACUCACACAGUAGGUGAGCUCAGACAGCCCACACAGUAGGUGAGCUCAGACAGCCCACACAGUAGGUGAGCUCAGACAGCCCACACAGUAGGUGAGCUCAGACAGCCCACACAGUAGGUGAGCUCAGACAACUACAGUUCUACCAUCCUUUGACUUGAUUCAUAACCUCAUGCUGAACCAACCAAGAAGCUUCCAAGGCAACAAGGAAGCUGCAGCAGAAGCACAGGAGCAGGGCC
Acomys russatus (golden spiny mouse) is the source of this 365-nucleotide long non-coding RNA. RefSeq lists it as uncharacterized. NCBI's taxonomy places the organism in Eukaryota, Metazoa, Chordata, Mammalia, Rodentia, Muridae. The record is from RefSeq and is a predicted model, not a curated record. The transcript has 3 exons.